RNAcentral lists this ribosomal RNA (460 nucleotides) under uncultured bacterium. Its description in RNAcentral is "partial 16S ribosomal RNA". It matches the Rfam family "Bacterial small subunit ribosomal RNA", at positions 338 to 795 of the family's 1533-position model. The record is from RNAcentral.
CCUACGGGUGGCAGCAGUGAGGAAUAUUGGUCAAUGGGCGCAAGCCUGAACCAGCCAAGUCGCGUGAGGGAAGACGGCUCUAUGGGUUGUAAACCUCUUUUAUACGGGAAUAAAAAGCGUUACGUGUCGCGUGAUGUAUGUACCGAAUGAAUAAGGAUCGGCUAACUCCGUGCCAGCAGCCGCGGUAAUACGGAGGAUCUGAGCGUUAUCCGGAUUUAUUGGGUUUAAAGGGUGCGUAGGCGGCCUGUUAAGUUAGAGGGGAAAGGUUGUGGCUUAACCCUAGAAUUGCCGUUGAAACGGGGAGGCUAGAGUAUGGGUGAGGUAGGCGGAAUACGUGGUGUAGCGGUGAAAUGCUUAGAGAUGACGCAGAACCCCGAUUGCGAAGGCAGCUUGCCAGGCUAUGACUGACGCUGAGGCACGAAAGCGUGGGGAGCAAACAGGAUUAGAUACCCGUGUAGUC